Molecule: transfer RNA, 87 nt
Filed under: Omnitrophica WOR_2 bacterium GWA2_47_8
Lineage: Bacteria; Pseudomonadati; Candidatus Omnitrophota
Description: tRNA-Ser
Rfam family: tRNA
About the family: Transfer RNA (tRNA) molecules are approximately 80 nucleotides in length. Their secondary structure includes four short double-helical elements and three loops (D, anti-codon, and T loops). Further hydrogen bonds mediate the characteristic L-shaped molecular structure. tRNAs have two regions of fundamental functional importance: the anti-codon, which is responsible for specific mRNA codon recognition, and the 3' end, to which the tRNAs corresponding amino acid is attached (by aminoacyl-tRNA synthetases). tRNAs cope with the degeneracy of the genetic code in two manners: having more than one tRNA (with a specific anti-codon) for a particular amino acid; and 'wobble' base-pairing, i.e. permitting non-standard base-pairing at the 3rd anti-codon position.
Source: RNAcentral
GGAGAGGUGGCUGAGCGGUUGAAAGCGGCGGUCUUGAAAACCGUUAUCCCCGCAAGGGGAUCUAGAGUUCGAAUCUCUACCUCUCCG